Non-coding RNA from Paramisgurnus dabryanus, 254 nucleotides. NCBI's taxonomy places the organism in Eukaryota, Metazoa, Chordata, Actinopteri, Cypriniformes, Cobitidae. The record is from RefSeq and is a predicted model, not a curated record.
GUCAAUCUCAAAAGGAUUCAUCAAGCUAUGGCAAACAAAAUGCUAAAGACAACAGUGGCAACAGUCAUUCUCAAAAGGAUCCAUCAAGCGAUGGCAAACAAAAUGCCAAAGACAACAGGGGCAACAGUCAAUUUCAAAAGGAUUCAUCAAGUGAUGGCAAACAAAAUGCUAAAGACAACAGUGGCAACAGUCAAUCUCAAAAGGAUCCAUCAAGCGAUGGCAAACACAAUACCAAAGACAACCAUGGCAACAGU